GACGAACGCUGGCGGCGUGCCUAAUACAUGCAAGUAGAACGCACAGUUUAUACCGUAGCUUGCUACACCAUAGACUGUGAGUUGCGAACGGGUGAGUAACGCGUAGGUAACCUGCCUGGUAGCGGGGGAUAACUAUUGGAAACGAUAGCUAAUACCGCAUAAUAUUAAUUAUUGCAUGAUAAUUGAUUGAAAGAUGCAACUGCAUCACUACCAGAUGGACCUGCGUUGUAUUAGCUAGUAGGUGAGGUAACGGCUCACCUAGGCGACGAUACAUAGCCGACCUGAGGGGGUGAUCGGCCACACGGGGACUGGGACACGGCCCAGACUCCUACGGGAGGCAGCAGUAGGGAAUCUUCGGCAAUGGACGAAAGUCUGACCGAGCAACGCCGCGUGAGCGAAGAAGGUUUUCGGAUCGUAAAGCUCUGUUGUAAGAGAAGAACGGGUGUGAGAGUGGAAAGUUCACACUGUGACGGUAUCUUACCAGAAAGGGACGGCUAACUACGUG
Molecule: ribosomal RNA, 505 nt
Filed under: uncultured bacterium
Lineage: Bacteria
Description: partial 16S ribosomal RNA
Rfam family: Bacterial small subunit ribosomal RNA
Source: RNAcentral